GUCAGCCUUUCAUUGUUUUUGUCCCAUGUGACAAAAUAAAAUAAUGUGAUUUCUUCAGAGUUUCUGUAUAAAUCAAAAUAAUUUUCUUCAUGGGCUUGAUUUGAGGAACAGAGGUUGCAAUUAAGAGAAUUAAUGAAUGUUCUAUCAAGCUGUCAUGCUCAUAUAGGCUACUGGCAGCCUUAGGUAACCUCUGAAUGGGGAAGGACAAUUCAGCAUAGCUUUUCUUUGGAAGUACAGUGACUUUAAUAGUUGCCACAGCUUUGAGGUUUGAAGGAAUCUGAAUGAAUAUUUUAAGAAUUUUUUCUGCAAGACCUUCCCAGGAUAAAUUCUUCCCACUACUGAAGCUGAAAAUCCCACUGAUACUGAAAUCCCACUGAUACUGAAAUCCCGCUACAGUUUUGAAAUUAGCUGGUUUGAAAAGAGAUUUUCCAAGAUAACUGCCAUCACUGAAAGCAACCAGGAGCUGGAUCCUUUUUUUGCAUUGAAAAUGUCCCCUUACCAUCUAAGCUGAACUCCCAGACUGAGGUCUCAGCAUGCUCCUGGUGAAGCCAUGAAGAAUAAGCAAAUGGACAAAAGGACCACAACAUCUUAGUAGUCUUUUCAAUUAUAAAAAGUAAUGCUAAUAAUGCAUUGCUGACCUCUAACAACAGUGAUGAUCCACAGAAAAGUCUGAUUGUACUUGGUGCUCCAAUAGUACCAAAAGUUUAAGAAUGACUGCAGUGUUUGGUUAUUUCAUCUUCUCUUCCUAAAAGAGAUAUAUAGCUAAACCAAAGUUCCUGAGGAUACAGCAGCAGAUACAAGUAAAAUCUAUCUUUAAUGUGCCAGAGACCACAUAGAAGAAUGAUAUACCACCAUUCAGUAGGUGGUUCUUUGGGUCUUUAACAGUGAAGGAAGAGGUAAUGUGGCUGUGAUUUUACAGAUAAAAUUAUUCAGGGGAAAUUAUGUUGUUAUGCACUGUUCUUAAGAAAAGAUCCUAAGGAAAAUAUGUGGACGUUAGAGCACAAACAUAUCAAUUUCGCGUACUGCCUUGAAGGAGAUGAGUUUGAAGAUAUCUGAGCUGGUGCUUGGGAGGAUGGAACACAUAUCUUAUCUUUGAUAGUUUUGUGGUAUUCAUUAUUUUUUAGCCUUCCAAGAGUUGGAUUGUUCAAUGUCUCUGCA
This 1158-nucleotide long non-coding RNA is filed under the name Anser cygnoides (Swan goose). Its description in RNAcentral is "lncRNA (ENSACDG00005010626.1)". Lineage: Eukaryota; Metazoa; Chordata; Aves; Anseriformes; Anatidae. The record is from RNAcentral.